GUAGUCCACGCCCUAAACGAUGCAUAUUUGGUGUGGGUCAUUCAGUUGAUCCGUGCCGGAGCUAACGCGUUAAAUAUGCCGCCUGGGGAGUACAGUCGCAAGGCUGAAACUCAAAGGAAUUGACGGGGGCCCGCACAAGCGGUGGAGCAUGUGGUUUAAUUCGACGCAACGCGAAGAACCUUACCUGGGCUCGAAAUGCUACGGACCAGCUUAUGAAAGUUUGCCUUCCCGCAAGGGACCGUAGUAUAGGUGCUGCAUGGCUGUCGUCAGCUCGUGUCGUGAGAUGUUGGGUUAAG
This 296-nucleotide ribosomal RNA is filed under the name uncultured bacterium. RNAcentral's name for it is "partial 16S ribosomal RNA". It matches the Rfam family "Bacterial small subunit ribosomal RNA", at positions 790 to 1084 of the family's 1533-position model. The record is from RNAcentral.